Long non-coding RNA from Pistacia vera, 1496 nucleotides. RefSeq lists it as uncharacterized. NCBI's taxonomy places the organism in Eukaryota, Viridiplantae, Streptophyta, Magnoliopsida, Sapindales, Anacardiaceae. The record is from RefSeq and is a predicted model, not a curated record. The transcript is spliced from 4 exons.
GAACCAGACUGGGCUCAUUGUUGGUAUUUUAGUAGCUCUCGGAAUUUCGAGCUUGAUACUGAUAUUUUUAACUUUUUACAUGAGGACAAAAAGCACAAUGACGAUGCGGAAGUGCUACUUGGAAUAGGACCUGAACUCAAAACUUUCAGUUAUGCCUAGUUGAGACCUGCAACAUAAGACUUCGACCCUCCAAAUAAGCUUGGCAAGGGAGGAUUUGGACCUGUGUACAAGCCAUGUUUCUGCAGGAAGAAGGGAAUUGCAUCUCAAUUGGCCUACCCGGUUCAAUAUAUGCUUGGGAACUGCAAUAUGUCUAGCAUGUCUUCAUGAGGAUUCUAGGCCAAAGAUUGUACAUCAAGACGUCAAGGCAAGCAAUAUUUUACUCGAUGCAGAACUCUGCCCAAAGAUAUCAGAUUUUGGAUUGGCCAAGUUGUAUGAUGACAGAAAAACUCACAUCAGCGCCAGAGUUGCAGGGACCAUUGGCUAUCUGACACCAAAGUAUGGAAAGCUUGGACACUUGAAAGAAAAGGCUGAUGUAUCCAGUUUUGGUGUUGUUGCUUUGGAGAUUAUCAGUGGAAGGGCAAACUCUGAGACUAACCUGGAUAGGGAAAAGAUUUAUCUUCUUGAAUGGGCACUUUUACCAUUUUUUUUUUUUAAUGCUUUCUUCUAUGUAUCCUAGUGUUAAAAAAACUUAUUCCUUGAAUUGUCUCUAUGGUAUUUGUAGGCCUGGAGUCUUCAUGAAAGUAACCGAAGUUUGGGGCUGAUAAAUUCCCAAUUAUCUGAGUUCAAUGAAAUUGGCACUGUACAAGUAAUAGGAGUUGCACUCUUGUGCACUCAAUUGUCACCAAUGUUACUGCUACCAAUGUCACGCGUUGUUAACAGCUUGCUGGAGACAUCGAAGUGGAAACUGGUGCUUCAAAGCCAAGUUAUUUGACUGAUAAGGAUUAUAAGGACAUAACAAAUAGCCUUUUGAACAAAGAUACUGUUACAUCCUCAUCGACAAGAAAUUAUAGCAGAAAGAAGAGCCAAUGUGGCAGUGUAACUGAUCUUAGCCCUGGAGUUGAUCCAUUGCUCUCCAGAAUAAGCCCCUGGGUUCAGUGACAUAAUUGCAGAGGGGAGGUGAGAAAUUUCUUUACUCACUGAAACUGAGUGAAUAACACCGCUCCUUGUAUACCACAACUAUUAAUUGCACAGUGAAUUUGAAGACCAUCAUAUUAGAUGUAUAUAGAGAAAACCUCUGUAUAGUUCUUCUGCAACAAGCUUGUUUGGAAUCUCUUUUGGAAUUUCUGGAUAUUGGAAGUUUCAGCAGUAUGUAUAAUUUUGGGAAAUUGCUGCUAUACAGGGGUAAGAAUACAGCAAUCGACAGAAGUUUUGUAAUAUUGUGUAGUUUAAGAUGUGAUUUUUGUGGCAUGGAAUGUCAUAUUUGUAACGUUUCAAAUAUUUUUCAUUUGAAUUUAACCGUCAAUGUGACAAAUAUGGAUUUAUUGUAUAUGCAGCUU